AUGGGAUGGGCUCAUGGGCCCGACGGCAUUUUAGAACCAGAAGGGUUGAAAUGGUGUCUUGGUGGUCAUGUCAUUGUUGAACCUUGCCCUGGAUGCUUUUCUCGGAGCUCAAGCCAGCUCUUCCGGCCAGGGGAAGAUGGCCGGUCUGCAGGUGGACAGCGUCCCCGUCGGUGCACACGGGCGUGCCCACCUGCGGCCCGAUGGCAUGUGGAGCCGGGCGGUCGUCAGAAGAGGGGGUUUCAGAUUUGGCGUGCCAUCCUGCAGGUCGGGACAGCGACUCAAGGGUCACCCCUGCAUUACCCCCCAUCUAGCUGUCGAGCACCCCCCUGCCAGGUGUCUGGUCCCCUCCCCCAGUCAUGCACAUGGUUCUAUCCGGGCGGAUGUGGGAGACCAGCAGGGUGGAGAGAGGCCGCUCAGACUGCCGACGGGAAUGCCAAGGCUGGUUUGACUCCAAAUCCAGCCUGAACCUCCCUGGGACCCUCCGGGGGCUUUGAUCUUCCCGAUGGAGUUAGUCUUCCCACCACCUCUAGCUGCCACGGCCCCUUCCCUCCAAACUCCUGAUUCUGCUCCCUUCCCCCACUGCUGAGCUUUGAAAUUCUCCCUCUUCUCCAAAGCCUGAAGGUUUAAAAGAAAACUUGAACUUUUUUAGGGGGCCUGUUUUAGGUUGACAGAAACACACUUUAAGUGGAAAAUCCAGAGAGGUCCCAUAUGGCCUCCCCUCAGGGCGCACGCGGUUUCCCUGUUAUUACCAGGGGCUGCAUUUUGAGAGAAGCACAUAGAGUGAUUGGCAGGGACCCUCGAGUUGGCGACGCUCGGAGGAACCUGGCGCCAGCACAUACAGGUGAGGGGCAGGCAGGCUGCGCGGCCACAUUGACAGGGUCUGGCCAGAGGCAGUGCCGCCAGAGACGAUACCACAGGGCGCAGGGUCUGGGGGGCUUGGAGGCACCGAGAGGGGUUUCCCAGGUGGAGCCAAAUGAGGGAAAGAGGGAACGGAUCCUGUGAGUUUGGCUACCCCAGAGCUGUGGGUGAUGAACGCUAGAGAAGCAGAGCGAUUCUGGAAGGUUUCCUGGGCUUGCCUGGACCUUGAGGUGGGGUGCUGUGGAAGGGAGGGCCCCCAUACCACCGCCCGGCCCCAGCAGGCCUGGCUGCCCCAUCUCUCUGGGUGCAUCAGACCCCCCAAACCCUGCUUCCCCUUCCCUCCUAGCCCAGGCCAGCGCGGGGCCACUCACCUGGAGAGAACAAUGCUCAUUGUGACCGGAGGCUCCAGCUGUCCUAGGCGAGGGGAAUGACGCCAGGGCCCCAGGGGUCCCGAAAGCCAGGGCGGAGCGGGCGGGGCUGGGCGCAGCUGUGCGAUCUGGGCUCCAGGGACACUGGCACCUGGUUGCCAGGCAACAUGGCCACCCACAGCCACCCUGGGAGGAGCCCCAGCUGGUUGCCUGGCAACCUUUCCCCCGGCCAGCCUUGCCAGCCUCGCACUGGCUGGGGAGAGGGGUCCCAGAGAGCCCCCAUAUCCUUCGUUUGAAGUUGGAGGUUCUGCAGCGCCAGGCAGCGUGGGGGUUCUCUAGCACAGAUCGGAUUUAGGGCAGCUUGCUUGGGGCUCAGCCAUGAGGGGCUGACGCCCAGCCUUCUCCCAAAUUCUGGGAGCGGCCGGCAGGGUCCUAGGAUAACUGGUUCCCCGGGAGGGGCUGUAGGGGAAAGCACAGAGUCCCUCUGGGGGGUCCUGGAGCCUUGUAGCUGAAUGGAGGGGACAGGGACCCCAGCCCAAAGGGACUUUUUUAACAUUUCAGUCAUCGUCUUGUUAUUCUCCCCCUUAUUUAUAAAAACAGUUAUUGCUCAUUGUUAGAAAAGUAAGAAAGUAGAGAGAACCCGGAAGGAAUUCCCAGACCUCAUGAUGAAGCUGUACUAAGGUGCACGUUUUCCUGAAUGAAGGCCGUGUACCUUUCACCGCAUGCACGUUUCACCUAGAGAAGGACGAAGGUGCCAACACUGAGAGGGACAGGGCACGCGGAGGGGCAGGUGUGGCCCAAACGCGCCGAGCAUUGGCAGCUGCUGCUGUCACGGGAUUCCCUGGCUGCGUCUGCUCCUGCUGGUGCGCCGGCAGGUUUUCAGAGUGGAGAGCUUUUUUUUUUUUUUUUUCUCCCUUAAGCAUAGAUAAAAGCAAGGACUUGGGAGUUUACUAAACACAGGUUUAAAUCCCAGAACCCAGCCUUGCUAUGGGACCUUGGGCAUGUCACCUUCCCUAUAAAAUGGGAUUGUGACAGUACUUUGUUGCCUGGUCCUCGUUAGCAGAAAGAAGUCUCAGGUGUGAUGGUAAAGGACAGGGCAAGGCCAGACUUCCACAGCGGUUCCGUGCACAUCGGCCCAGCAUGGUGACGGCUCCCCCACAGCGCGUCCUGGGUGCCCCACGCCCUGUGCUGCUGCCUGCCUGCUCCCUACACUUCGCUCUGCCCUGUGUGCCCUUAGGCUCCCCCCUGCAGGAUGCUGGGCAGGGCAGAGGCUCCUGGGCCCCCCACUCUGCACACCAGGUCCCGUCCCUCUCAGGUUCUUGGCCCCCUUCAUUCUUGGGGCUGUGCUGAAUUGAAUAGCAUCUCCCACAAAAUGUCCCCCUGACACACCUCCGGAAGUGACCUUAUUUGGAAAGAGGGUCUUUGCAGAUAGAACCAGCUGAAAUGGGUCAUGCUGGAGUGGGAUGAGCUCUAGUCCAACAGUUGGUGUCCUUAUAAGAAGAGGAAGCAGAAGCCCAGGGAGACGGCUGUCUGACACAGGGCCGAGACUGGAGGGGCGUGGCCGCUGCCAAGGAUGGCCGGCAACACCAGGAGCUCGAAGAGGCACGGAGGAUCCUCCCUUGGAGCCCUCAGAGGGAGCUCAGCCCUGCCCCCACCUUGAUUUUGGACCUCUGGCUUCCAGACUGUAGCAUAAACCUCUGUCGUAUUAAUACUUGUUUUGGUAUGGUGGCCCCAGGACCCUUGCCCGUCCCCUCCCUCCCCGCAGAGCUGCUGUGUUCCCACAUGGCCAACCUCUCUCCCCAUGGGGGCUGUGGCCUGCCUGUUUUCUCCAGGUCUUCUGACUUCACACGGGUUCCCUAUACCUUGAUGAUCCCUUUGGUUGAUGAAUUCCGUCCUGAGCAAGCCUGGCAGUGUCUUGUCCAUGUUGAGAGGCGUCCACGAUGAAGGUGGCGCUUUUGCCCUGGGUUCUGGAUCUGGUCCCUGGUCAAACAAGCAUGCCACUCUGUGUCCCUGUCCCUCUACACUUCUUUCUGCCAGCUUCAACACCAGCAAGCCUCUCCUCCUCCUGGAGAAAUGCCCCCCAGCUGACUCCCCCAACCCUCCUCUCUUCUACUGCUCACCUCCUCAGGGAACUUUCAAACAAGCGGCCUUUCCUCGCUCGGUUCCCUUCACUCCCUCUUGUCUUUCCUCAUUGUCACUAUAUCCAGGGCCAUGGCCCUGGCCCAUGGCAUCCAGGCCAACAGUCUGCUCGAUGGAUUUUGGCUUUUCCAGCCCCCACAAUCCCAAGAGCC
Long non-coding RNA from Mustela putorius furo (domestic ferret), 3517 nucleotides. Lineage: Eukaryota; Metazoa; Chordata; Mammalia; Carnivora; Mustelidae. The record is from Ensembl.